This is a long non-coding RNA of Gavia stellata (red-throated loon), 181 nucleotides long. RefSeq lists it as uncharacterized. The transcript is spliced from 3 exons. The record is from RefSeq and is a predicted model, not a curated record. Lineage: Eukaryota; Metazoa; Chordata; Aves; Gaviiformes; Gaviidae.
UCUGGAGAAUGACACGGCACUGCAGUCCCAGCACCAUCCUGGAGAUGUGCUGUUUGAAGUAACUAUUGAAAUCAAACCCAAGGACUGGAUUCCUCAUGGUGGACGUGAGCUCAAAAAGGGUCUUCUUGAAGCUAUGAAGAACCAUGUCCAGGAGAACCUGAAACUUUCUGCCAACAGAGUC